GGGCAUCUUUACACAGAAGAAAUCUGUGGGA
This 31-nucleotide non-coding RNA is filed under the name Mus musculus (house mouse). Lineage: Eukaryota; Metazoa; Chordata; Mammalia; Rodentia; Muridae. The record is from RNAcentral.